Molecule: ribosomal RNA, 1257 nt
Filed under: Triticum aestivum (bread wheat)
Lineage: Eukaryota; Viridiplantae; Streptophyta; Magnoliopsida; Poales; Poaceae
Description: partial small subunit ribosomal RNA
Source: RNAcentral
AUGGCGCCGCCGCAGCACGCCCCCCGCCGCCCCUACAAGCGCCCGGCCAUCUCCGACCAGCAGCGCCGCCGCGACUCCGCCCUCCAGACCCAGUCCGCCCGCCGCGCCGACGCCCAGGCGCGCGCGCGCAGCCUCGCCAACUCCCUGCUCUCUCCCCAACCCUCCUCCCCCGCCGCCGCCGACCAACCCCCGCCCUCCCCCGACGCCCCCGACGAACGCGGACAUGAUCCCACCGUCGCCGACGUCGCCUCGGCCGCAGCCAAGCUCCGCGGCCCCGACCAGCGCCGCUGGUUCGCCCGCCAGAUCAUGCUCCCGGAGUGGAUGGUCGACGCCCCUCCCCACCUCGCCCGCGACUGGCAUGUUUCUGCCAGACCCGCUGGCAAACGAUGCAUGGUCGUGUCGUCGAACGGCAUCACGAUUAGCAGGCUCCGUAACGGAACCAUUCUUCACCGGUUCCCCUCCGCCUUACCCAACGGGUCCAAGAAAGGACUCUCUGGUCCUGCAAGCUCCUACUCUAUCCUUGACUGCAUAUUCCAUGAGCCUGAUGAGACGUACUACAUCGUUGAUAUGAUUUGUUGGCGAGGCUAUUCGCUCUAUGAUUGCACUGCUGAGUUCAGAUUUUUCUGGGUGAACUCCAAGCUUACGGAGACUUCUGCUGGCGAUCCUCCAUCGACAUACCAUCGGUAUAGAUUCAGUGCUGUUCCUAUGUAUGAGUCCACGCUUGAUGGCCUUCAGGCAGCAUAUUCGGGAAGCACACCUUAUGUUAAAGAUGGCUUGCUGUUCUAUAACAAGCAUGCACAUUAUCAAGCUGGAAUCACACCCCUUACGCUAGUAUGGAAAGACGAGACUUGCAGCCAAUAUCUUCUUGAUACGGAUAGUGAGGGACAAGUUCCAACUGAGCAACACGUUGUGUUGGAGCUGCAAGAGGAUGGAAAGCUAGUUACUUCUGAUGAUCCUCCAAUUGCAUUUGGUAGCUUGGACAACGAACUUAUCCAGAAGUCAAACCUGCGGCCUGGGAACCUUCUUCGCUUCAGUGUAAGAGAUGAAAGUGUGAAACUUGUGGAUGGGAAGAUGGAGAUUGGUCAGCUGCAACUUGCCGGGAAGCUGAACCGUUCUCGUACUUCCGCUGACAGCCACUCCAAAGUUUUGUUCCAGUAUGCUGCCAGGCAUGCUCCUCUGAGAAUUGAGGAUCUGGUAGCCUCUGUUCAAUCAAACAGUAUGGAGAUUGAAUCCACAGAUGUUGAAAUGCAAGGUUGA